ACAUGGAGCGAAUCUCAAAAGAUAGUCUCAGUUCGGACUGUGGGCUGCAACCCGCCCACACGAAGUCGGAGUUGCUAGUAAUCCCGAAUCAGCAUGUCGGGGUGAAUGCGUUCCCGGGUCUUGUACACACCGCCCGUCACGCCAUGGGAGUCGGAAGUGCCCAAAGUCGGUGACCUAACCGCAAGGGAAGGAGCCGCCUAAGGUAAUGCCGAUGACUGGGGUGAAGUCGUAACAAGGUAUC
RNAcentral lists this ribosomal RNA (241 nucleotides) under uncultured bacterium. Its description in RNAcentral is "partial 16S ribosomal RNA". It matches the Rfam family "Bacterial small subunit ribosomal RNA", at positions 1260 to 1500 of the family's 1533-position model. The record is from RNAcentral.